Small nuclear RNA from Rhinopithecus bieti (black snub-nosed monkey), 74 nucleotides. The record is from Ensembl. NCBI's taxonomy places the organism in Eukaryota, Metazoa, Chordata, Mammalia, Primates, Cercopithecidae.
GUGCUUGCUUCGGCAUCACAUAUAGUAAAAUUGGAACAAUACAGAGAAGAUGAACAUGGCUUCUGCUCAAGGAU